CCUGAUGCAGCCAUGCCGCGUGUGUGAAGAAGGCCCUAGGGUUGUAAAGCAUCGUCAGGAGGAAAGAUUAGUAGUUAAUACCUGCUAGUUGUGACGUUACUGACAGAAGAAGGACCGGCUAACUCCGUGCCAGCAGCCGCGGUAAUACGGAGGGUCCGAGCGUUAAUCGGAAUUACUGGGCGUAAAGCGUGCGCAGGCGGUUUGUUAAGUCAGAUGUGAAAGCCCCGGGCUCAACCUGGGAACAGCAUUUGAAACUGGCAAACUAGAGUCUUGUAGAGGGGGGUAGAAUUUCAGGUGUAGCGGUGAAAUGCGUAGAGAUCUGAAGGAAUACCGGUGGCGAAGGCGGCCCCCUGGACAAAGACUGACGCUCAGGCACGAAAGCGUGGGGAGCAAACAGGAUUAGAUACCCUGGUAGUCCACGCCGUAAACGAUGUCUACUCGGAAUUUGGUCUCUUGAAGACGGGUUCUCAAGCUAACGCAUAAGUGACCG
Molecule: ribosomal RNA, 490 nt
Filed under: uncultured bacterium
Lineage: Bacteria
Description: bacterial SSU rRNA
Rfam family: Bacterial small subunit ribosomal RNA
Source: RNAcentral